AUUGAACGCUGGCGGCAUGCUUUACACAUGCAAGUCGAACGGUAACAGGCCGCAAGGUGCUGACGAGUGGCGAACGGGUGAGUAAUGCAUCGGAACGUGCCCAGUCGUUGGGGAUAACUACUCGAAAGAGUAGCUAAUACCGCAUACGAUCUAUGGAUGAAAGCGGGGGACCGUAAGGCCUCGCGCGAUUGUAGCGGCCGAUGUCAGAUUAGGUAGUUGGUGGGGUAAAGGCUCACCAAGCCAACGAUCUGUAGCUGGUCUGAGAGGACAACCAGCCACACUGGGACUGAGACACGGCCCAGACUCCUACGGGAGGCAGCAGUGGGGAAUUUUGGACAAUGGGCGCAAGCCUGAUCCAGCAAUGCCGCGUGCAGGAAGAAGGCCUUCGGGUUGUAAACUGCUUUUGUACGGAACGAAACGGCUCUGGUUAAUACCCGGGGCUAAUGACGGUACCGUAAGAAUAAGCACCGGCUAACUACGUG
RNAcentral lists this ribosomal RNA (482 nucleotides) under uncultured bacterium. RNAcentral describes it as "partial 16S ribosomal RNA". It matches the Rfam family "Bacterial small subunit ribosomal RNA", at positions 30 to 507 of the family's 1533-position model. The record is from RNAcentral.